Dicentrarchus labrax (European seabass) is the source of this 128-nucleotide long non-coding RNA. RefSeq lists it as uncharacterized. The transcript is spliced from 2 exons. The record is from RefSeq and is a predicted model, not a curated record. NCBI's taxonomy places the organism in Eukaryota, Metazoa, Chordata, Actinopteri, Moronidae.
CUGUUAUUAGACUGUUAUUGGACUGUUAUUAGACUGUUGUUAUUGGACUGUUAUUAGACUGUUAUUAGACUGUUAUUAGACUGUUGUUGCACUGUUAUUAGACUGUUAUUGGACUGUUAUUGGACUGU